CCCCCAUGAAUUUUGUGCAUCGUGUCUCUAGUUACUAAAUAACAUUCAAAGGUAAGAUCUAAACAUGACAUCAAACUGUGAUGAAAUGGUUUCUAGCUUCUAUUUGAAAACAAGUCUUAAAAUGUCAGGGUUGAAAUUUCUGAGAUCAACUAGGUCAGUGACUUUAAGUAGGGAAACUUGUUGAAACAAAUCCCUGCUCAAAAGCUCAUAAGCAAAACUUUUCCCAGAAGAGUAGGAAACCUUAAACCUUUUUGUCCAGAACUCUCCCACUCUAACAAAAUUAGAAAAUUACUAAGUUGGUAAUAACCUUUUUAUUUCACAGAUCUAAGAAAAUGAUAGGCCCAAAGAGGUUAAGGCACUGACUAACCCCAGAUUACUCAGUCUGCACAUGACAGAUGUAGAGCUUGGUUAUACCAUAAUUGUUUCUUUGGAGAACACAUUAAUUCAGAGUGUCACAAAGAAAGAGAGUGUGUAACAGAAACACAGUAAUUUUAAUUGAGCCCCCAGAGGCCAAUUCACAAGGUCCAAGGAUUUCAGUUUCUUAAAAAUAUCAAAAGACUGAAUGUCAUCCUCUCACUCUUGCUCUUUACACUGGAUGCUAUGUCUCUAGGUAACAAUAGAUACUUUAAUAAGGUCCUUACUAGGUAAGGGGACCUGAUUAGGCAGGUCUGCUAUGUGGGUCAGGUAAUUUGCAGCUCUUUUUUUCAGAUCUAUCAAAGUAUAUUAAAGAAAAUGGGGGUUAGGGAGUGUCAACACAUCUAAAACAAUGGAUAACAUACAGAUUGCUUUAUUCAAUCUAGCUAAAGUCAGUUUAAUUCACUAUUUACCAAAUAAAUACUGAGUGUAUAUAAUAUGUAGGUAAUGUGGGGAAAAACUGCCACCCAAAGAAAGAUUUAUCUAAGUCUUUCUUAAUCCUUACUGCUUCAGUGGAAAAAUAAUUUCCAUACUUAAAACCAAUGAACCACUUUUGUGUCUAUGUACUGACCCUAUCAUUCCUAAAACAAAUUUACUCGUUCCCCACCCUCAUCCAAUUACUACAUUUCUGCCUGAGACUACUCCCAGAAGCCAUACUCUAUUCUUGGAUGCCUGCCCCAACCAGUUCACCAAGCUCUCCUAGAGCCAGGUCCUGAAAUCCCUUCUCCUCUCCCAGAAAGCCUUAACUUGAAAGCCGGGUUAAUCUCUCUAGCUCUACCCACAGACAGUUUAUAACUGCCACAACUCUCGGUACACAUCUUAUAAUAGAUGCCUAUUAGUUUGUUCACAAGUUAAUUUCCUUUAAUCAUUGCUUAUUCAGUAUAUUAACCAUUACUCUUGUUAGGUACCAGUGUCGUUAUUAAAUAAAAGCUACUGGAUAAAAAGGCAUGUAUUUAAUUUGGAUUCAGCACUGAAAAUGCCAGGUGUUUAAUGCCCCUUUUUUAAAAUGCCUUCAGAAAAUGAUUUCAGAUAUAUUAAAUUCAACCUGUCUUGUGAAAUUUACAAAAUCUCCCAAUAUGGAUAAAUCUAAAUAGCAUUAUGCUAGGUGAGAGAAGCCAGACACAAAUGUUACCUCAUAUAUGAUUGUAUUUACAUGAAAUUCUAGGAAAAACUAGUGAUGAAAGCAAAUCAACCGGGGCCAGGAAUGGAGAGAUUACAUACAAAGGGAAAAGAGUUUAAAAUUUUUAGGCUAAUGCAAUUGACAUUUUCUUUGAGAAGGAAAAUACGUAGGUAUUUAAAUAAAAAUUUUCAUUAUUCCACAGUAACAAAUUUACUUUCCCACAAAGCUGGGUGUUUUUUGUUUUUAGGGAUGGGAAUUAAAAUCUCAAAUCUGGAUCAUUUUAGAUUUCAUAUUAACCUUUAUCUCAAAAGAUAAACCUGGGAUUUUCUUCCAAAUAAUUUACUUUAUCACUUAACAACCAACAGAACAUUUCAUUAUUCAAUUCUCCCUUUAAAAUGUCUAUCAACAUUGGAAAUUGUUUCAGGAUAGUGUUAAUUUGGUUGUUUCCCCAUCAGAAUGAAUGUAUGUAAUCUAGCCCUUAAUUCAAGAUUGGAGGAAUAGAAAUUGGAAAAGGAAGCCACAGUACAUACCAAUUCCACUUAAUUCUCAACUAUCCUGGAUCUUUUUGUUAUUUUUGAGUAACUGCUGCAGAAUCGCUGGGUUUUAAGCUAUCUUUUAGUAUCUAUUCUAGGAAAGGACUCUUUAAUCUCAAAAACCAAACUAUUCUAAAACCUUUUAAACAUUUUCUCUGAUGUGACUGACAACUCAACAGGUUAAAGUUACUUAUCAAACUGUGGUUUCGAGAUGAAGCUUUCUUUUAAUAUAACUGAGAUCUGAGUAUAAAUUUCAACAUAGCGCUGCGCUCAAACUGCCUUUGCAAUUACCCGUAGAAAUUUAGUACAGACUGAAAUGCAGCCAACACUGCCAUUCUUGAAAGAGUAAUUAACACCUUGAGAGGGACUUCGCAUAGUAUAAUUUAGUAAUUUCACGUCGCAUCUGCUGCAGAGAUCACAGACUGUCAUUAUGCCAUCUCCUUCCUUGAACCCCACUACCACCCGCAGCUUUCUUCUUGGCUUUUCAAAGGUUUAAUCCACUCAGGUCCGCUAACGGGGGAAUCGAGGCACCUUCCCUUGCGAACCCACGCAGAGAAAAGGGCAGGAAAAUGCGGUUGAGUCACGUCGCUCCGCCAUUUUCUAAGCGGAGGAGGAAGACAUGUUGGAACAAAAACACAACAAAAGAGCAGCCAUUUCCCAAGCCAGCUCCAACAGCCGCCCGCGCUGGCGGGGCCGGUCCCCUCGGCACCUCCACAUCCACCUCCCGGGGCAAACCCCGCGCAUCAGAGGUGCCGGCGGAGGAAGCGGCCUCCGACCCCGCCGCGCAGGGAUCAGGGCUGACCCGCAGGCCCACGAACCGCAGCGCCUCGGGAAGGACGACGCACGCCAGACGGGGCCGAGUGCAAGCCACGGAAAAGCGACAUUAAGUUGACAAACUGAAAUGUACUCGGUGCUUGUGCCGACCAAGAGUUCAAAGGAAACCACUGGCUAAAGGCAACCAGCUCCAGACCCAGAAAUGCAGCAAGGCCAGGCAGGGCAAUGCCAUGGCUGCCAUAGGACUGGCUGCCAGCAGGACUGGCUGCUGUGACGAAUGACUCCCCUGCCCUGGCACCUACCAGUUGGAGACCAGAACCCUGGAAGGACACACCUGGAAAGCUGAUGAAUAUUCUAUUGAGAUCCUCCCCUGGGACCGCCAGAUAAAAACCCUCAAGACACUGAUUCCAACAGGAAAGAAAAGGAGAGGCUUGGGAAGAAAAUAUUGGUGUAAAGAAGUUCUUGAUGAGCUAAAAAUUUUAAAG
Molecule: long non-coding RNA, 3326 nt
Organism: Myotis davidii
Lineage: Eukaryota; Metazoa; Chordata; Mammalia; Chiroptera; Vespertilionidae
Exons: 3
Source: RefSeq, a predicted model, not a curated record